UACGGAGGGUGCAAGCAUUAAUCGGAAUUAUUGGGCGUAAAGGGCGCGUAGGCUGAAAAACAAGUCAGAUGUGAAAUACCAAAGCUCAACUUUGGUGCUGCAUUUGAAACUGUUUAUCUAGAGGGUUGACGGAGAAAACGGAAUUCCACGUGUAGCGGUGAAAUGCGUAGAUAUGUGGAAGAACACCAGUGGCGAAAGCGGUUUUCUAGUUUAUACCUGACGCUGAGGCGCGAGAGCAAGGGGAGCAAACAGG
Molecule: ribosomal RNA, 253 nt
Filed under: uncultured bacterium
Lineage: Bacteria
Description: partial 16S ribosomal RNA
Rfam family: Bacterial small subunit ribosomal RNA
Source: RNAcentral